UACGUAGGGUGCAAGCGUUGUCCGGAAUUAUUGGGCGUAAAGAGCUCGUAGGCGGUUUGUCGCGUCUGCUGUGAAAACUGGAGGCUCAACCUCCAGCCUGCAGUGGGUACGGGCAGACUAGAGUGCGGUAGGGGAGAUUGGAAUUCCUGGUGUAGCGGUGAAAUGCGCAGAUAUCAGGAAGAACACCCGUGGCGAAGGCGGCUCUCUGGGACGGUACUGACGCUGAGACGCGAAAGCGUGGGGAGCGAACAGG
This 253-nucleotide ribosomal RNA is filed under the name uncultured bacterium. RNAcentral's name for it is "partial 16S ribosomal RNA". It matches the Rfam family "Bacterial small subunit ribosomal RNA", at positions 524 to 776 of the family's 1533-position model. The record is from RNAcentral.